UAUUGCAGUAUAGUAUCUCGUCGAAGGGAUGCGAACCUGGAUUUGUUUGCAAUUCUUGUUGCAGGCGCUGGGCAUAGUUUACAAUCUCUCCGCGAACAGCAUAUUCGCAUUUCACAACCUUGGGGUUGAUGUUGUCAACCGCGACGGGCUCGGUCGCGGCGGAGGACAUGGCGGCUGCGGCGGAGGAAAGCGACGACAGGAAGGGGGAGGUAGCGGCGGAUCGAGAGGAGACGACUAGCUGCUUGGCUCUUUGAGCGACG
RNAcentral lists this unclassified non-coding RNA (260 nucleotides) under Hevea brasiliensis (rubber tree). The record is from RNAcentral. Lineage: Eukaryota; Viridiplantae; Streptophyta; Magnoliopsida; Malpighiales; Euphorbiaceae.